GUGUCAGCCGCCGCGGUAAUACGUAGGUGUCGAGCGUUGUCCGGAUUUAUUGGGCGUAAAGCGCCCGCAGGCGGCUUGGCAAGUUUGGGGUGAAAUCUCCCGGCUCAACUGGGAGGGUGCCUCGAAAACUGCCAGGCUUGAGGCAGGGAGAGGGAUGUGGAAUUCCCGGUGUAGUGGUGAAAUGCGUAGAUAUCGGGAGGAACACCAGUGGCGAAGGCGGCAUCCUGGCCCUGUCCUGACGCUCAGGGGCGAAAGCGUGGGGAGCAAACCGGAUUAGAAACCCGCGUAGUCC
This 292-nucleotide ribosomal RNA is filed under the name uncultured bacterium. RNAcentral describes it as "partial 16S ribosomal RNA". It matches the Rfam family "Bacterial small subunit ribosomal RNA", at positions 505 to 796 of the family's 1533-position model. The record is from RNAcentral.